RNAcentral lists this ribosomal RNA (255 nucleotides) under Clostridium botulinum. Its description in RNAcentral is "partial 16S ribosomal RNA". It matches the Rfam family "Bacterial small subunit ribosomal RNA", at positions 55 to 309 of the family's 1533-position model. Lineage: Bacteria; Bacillati; Bacillota; Clostridia; Eubacteriales; Clostridiaceae. The record is from RNAcentral.
AUGCAAGUCGAGCGAUGAAGCUUCCUUCGGGAAGUGGAUUAGCGGCGGACGGGUGAGUAACACGUGGGUAACCUGCCUCAAAGUGGGGGAUAGCCUUCCGAAAGGAAGAUUAAUACCGCAUAAUAUAGGAGAAUCGCAUGAUUUUCUUAUCAAAGAUUUAUUGCUUUGAGAUGGACCCGCGGCGCAUUAGCUAGUUGGUAAGGUAACGGCUUACCAAGGCAACGAUGCGUAGCCGACCUGAGAGGGUGAUCGGCC